UACAUGUGGGGCAAGCGUUGUUCGGAAUUACUGGGCAUAAAGGGUGCGUAGGCGGCUUGUUAAGUCAGGGGUGAAAUCCCACGGCCCAACCGUGGAACUGCCUUUGAUACUGGCGAGCUUGAGUGCGUGAGGGGUAACCGGAACGAGUAGUGUAGCGGUGAAAUGCGUAGAUAUUACUCGGAAGGCCAAAGGCGAAGGCAGGUUACUGGUACGCAACUGACGCUGAGGAGCGAAAGCGUGGGGAGCGAACAGG
Molecule: ribosomal RNA, 253 nt
Filed under: uncultured bacterium
Lineage: Bacteria
Description: partial 16S ribosomal RNA
Rfam family: Bacterial small subunit ribosomal RNA
Source: RNAcentral